Molecule: ribosomal RNA, 406 nt
Filed under: uncultured bacterium
Lineage: Bacteria
Description: partial 16S ribosomal RNA
Rfam family: Bacterial small subunit ribosomal RNA
Source: RNAcentral
AUUGAACGCUGGCGGCAGGCCUAACACAUGCACGUCGAACGAGUGGCGGACGGGUGAGUAAUGUCUGGGAAACUGCCUGAUGGAGGGGGAUAACUACUGGAAACGGUAGCUAAUACCGCAUACCAUCAGAUGUGCCCAGAUGGGAUUAGCUAGUUGGUGGGGUAACGGCUCCCCAAGGCGACGAUCCCUAGCUGGUCUGAGAGGAUGACCAGCAAAAUUGGAACUGAGAAACGGUCCAGACCCAUACGGGAGGCAGCAGGGGGGAAUAUUGCAAAAUGGGCGAAAGUCGGAUGCAGACAUGCCGCGUGUGUGAAGAAGGCCUUAGGGUGGUAAAGAACUUUCAGCGGGGAGGCGUUACCCGCAGAAGAAGCACCGGCUAACUCCGUGCCAGCAGCCGCGGUAAUAC